Molecule: transfer RNA, 67 nt
Filed under: Psolodesmus mandarinus
Lineage: Eukaryota; Metazoa; Arthropoda; Insecta; Odonata; Calopterygidae
Description: tRNA-Leu
Source: RNAcentral
UUUAAUGUGGCAGAAAAGUGCUAUGGAUUUAAGCUCCAUUCAUGGGGACUCACCUCCCCCAUUAAAA